ACUUUUGUUUAUUUGAUUGAGAUUGAUUCUGUCUUUUUUAAUUAGCUAUUUUGAUAAUAUUAAAUACAAAUUUUUGUGUGAUUUAUUGUUUAUCUAAAGGAUAAAUUUUAUUUUUACUUGUA
Molecule: ribosomal RNA, 122 nt
Filed under: Haploprocta sulcicornis
Lineage: Eukaryota; Metazoa; Arthropoda; Insecta; Hemiptera; Coreidae
Description: partial small subunit ribosomal RNA
Source: RNAcentral